ACUUUUAUAGGAUAAAAGUAAUCCAUUGGUCUUAGGAACCAAAAAC
RNAcentral lists this transfer RNA (46 nucleotides) under Hylomyscus simus. RNAcentral's name for it is "partial tRNA-Leu". Lineage: Eukaryota; Metazoa; Chordata; Mammalia; Rodentia; Muridae. The record is from RNAcentral.